GCGGGCGUAGCUCAGUUGGUUAGAGCGUCCCCCUGUCACGGGGAAGGCCGCCGGUUCGAGUCCGGUCGCUCGCGCAA
RNAcentral lists this transfer RNA (77 nucleotides) under Candidatus Harrisonbacteria bacterium CG10_big_fil_rev_8_21_14_0_10_49_15. RNAcentral's name for it is "tRNA-Asp". It matches the Rfam family "tRNA". Rfam says of the family: Transfer RNA (tRNA) molecules are approximately 80 nucleotides in length. Their secondary structure includes four short double-helical elements and three loops (D, anti-codon, and T loops). Lineage: Bacteria; Candidatus Harrisoniibacteriota. The record is from RNAcentral.